UCAUAAUAUUGAAGGACCACAAGCUAACCCAUGACUGAUACCUGCUGAAAUAAUUAAAUAGCAAUAUUAUAAAUAUGUGGAAAUUAGGGAAAAACUUACCAUAAGGCUCAAUACUAAAAUAAAACUGAAUUCGGUAUAACAAUACCCAAACUGAAACAUUUGUCUGAAAAUACUCUAGUUUGAAAAGCUUCUACUGUCUGAAUCAUGGAGUUGAUGGGACACGACCCCAACUAACUCCAACUACUGAAAACUAUACUGAUAAACCUAAAUACUAAAGAAAAUAAUCAUGUGUAUGAACUAUGAGGACUCACUACUAACUCUGACUACUGAAGAUCUGAACUGCUAAGGGUUCUCAGGAGAUCGUGCAUCUGAACCUAUAAUAUAAGACAUCACAGUGUAAGAGAAAAGUAUGUGUCAGUACUUGAAUAUACUGGUAUGCAAAGUAAAGUAAGCUGAAGUGCAUGGGUUCAUAUGCAUGAACAAUACUAACUGAAUGAGAGUACAUGUAUGAAUAUGUAUACUGUAACUGAGAUCGUGAUAACACUAAAUAUUGAGCUAUGGAUUACUGAUUUACUAUUAUUUGAGGUUACUAAUACUGUGUAACUGAUAGAUGAAUGACUGUAUCUGACAGUCCUAAUUCUGUUUCAUGUUGCUGAGUUCUAUACUGAACUAAGUGACUAUGUUUGACAGUACUGAAUUAGUAAAACUUAACUAAGUUUUAUACUGAGACUGAAUUUGAAGCUGAGAAUGUAAGAGGUAAUCAUCUAAUUGAAAUGCCCCUUCUAAAUAGAUUGGGGUCCAACCUGUAACCCCAGUUGGAAGGGUGUCAAUGUCGUUCCAUAGAUAGAGUCAAGCUGUAAAUUAACCCUCUUCGAUAAGAAGCUCUUUUGUCAACUCUCACUGACAGUAAAACUUAUGUGAGAUAUAUCAACCCUAAUUUGGUCGGAAGAUAUCUUAACCUACGCUAGCUAUGUAGUUCUGUAACGCAGAGAUUGCUACAAGGGUCAAACCCUCUGCUAGCAGAAAUGCCCCCAUCCCUGGGUUAAGUUAGUGCUGAACCAUACUCCUAAUUAAAUAGACACUGAACUGAUUUUCUAGUUCAUAUUAGGCUUGACUGAACUGUUACUGAGCUUACUGAGUUCCGUUGACUGAUACAGUACUACUGAAUUCUAUUAGCUAAUUGAGCUUACUGAGGUCCAAACUGAAUAUUGAACUAGAUCGGACUAAUGCUGAGUCUACUGAGUUGUUUCCUGAGUACUAUAACUGACUUAGAGUACUACUGAUCGUGACAUGACUGAGAUUAUUCUAUAAUUGACACUGGAUCUAGGUAAACAGCUAAAUUGUCAGGCAUUAAAUACCCCUAGGACUCGAUAACAUGAAAAGUAAAGAAUCACAUAACCUUGCAUAGCAUACAAAUACACUCUUGUUCAUAAUGCAUCUAUAGAGGCAUUUUGUCAAUCACUUGCAUGGUAUGAACUAGUCCAUAUACUAGCAUGAUAUCAUCUUAUUACUGCAUUCACAUGAGCAGUACAUCAAGCACUUAGAUGGCAUAGUAUAUGCACAUAAUACUAAACAACAUUUGAGCAUCAUGAUUCAAUUCCAAAUUCACAAUUCCAUGGGUUUCAACAUGAAUUCACAUGAUAAAUCAUGCAAAUCAAAUAAUUCUUGAUCAAACUUGUAAUAAAUCAUGAACUAAAAAACCCAAUUAAAUAGUACUUAUGAAUACACUUUAAUUCCAAAUCAUUGAAAUCAUGAAAUCGAUCUACUUGAAGUUUAAAAGUGUUUCUUGGACUCCAAGGGUGGAAGGAACCCUUAGAUGAACAUUUCACAUAGCUUGGUUUUCAAAUUCUUGAAGAAUAAUGGAGAAAUCUUGAGCCUUGGCUUUGAAAUUAAAUCACCUAGGGUUUUUGUUCUUGAGCAAUUUGAGAGAAAGGGAGUGUAUUUUUCUUAAUGUGGACUGAAUCUCGUGUUUUAGGGCUGAAUAGGAGUAGGAAAAAGAUCCAAAUACUCCUAAGGAUGCGGCUUUUUAAUGAUUAAAAAUCAAACUGUCGAUGCACAGACCCAAGCACCACCUCAUUGGCAUCAAUGUGAUGGCCAACACGCCACGUCGAGUCCACGUCGGUUUACUAGAAUUUACACCGAGCUGAGGGAAAAAUUAUCUUUCUACGCGAUGGACGAUGCGACACGUCGAGAUCAUAUCGACUUAGUGUUUUGGUCAUUUGAACAUGGUCUAAACGAGGUCUGAAAAAUCCAAAACUUUUUUGGGAGCACCUAGUGACAUUCUUGAUCAUGAAUCAAUCUAGAGGUCGAUACUUAAGGUCAUAAGAGUCGUGAAAUAGAGUUACCAACUUACAAAGGCCAAAAUAAUACUAAGUCUGAAUAUAUAGCUAGAAUUUUCUAAGUCUGGGACCCCUUAGCAAGCUUAAAAGACUGAGUUGAGCUUAGGAUUUUGUGGGGUCUUACAGAAGGAAAGAUAUAUAGUAAUAUACAAGGAAAAGUAAUAUGUAUAUAUAUAUACCGUAGUACCAUAUUUUCAUAUAACUAGAUAUAUAUAUAUAUAUAUAUAUAUAAAUGAGAAUAUAUAUUUACAUAUAAACAUGAGGUCAUCUCAAAGCAUAACCUAUACAUCAUAUUCUUAUUUAAGACAUCAUUAUAAUACUUAUUAGGAUUUAAAUACUAUCAUACUUGGGGUUUCUAAUCCAUAUGGCUAGAUAUGAAUUAAUCUUGCAUAAUAAUGCAAUCAUAAGAUAGGAGAGGCCGAAAAUGUACCUUAAAUCGUGAUACCGAAUCAAGGACCAAUCUGUAAUAAGCUAUCCAUAAUAAUGAUCAUAACAAUGAUAACAACAAUAUCAAUAACGACGUGAAUAACUGGCUACUCUGGGAAACCAAAUACCUCACUGAGCCUAUGCAUACCCCUACCGCCCUAGACUCAGAAGGUUCAAUCAACACACAACAACAUAGAGCAUAUUCUUCACGCAUAUCCACGUAACCGUCCCAUACUGGCUAAUAGACAUAGGUGCAUACUGGUGAUAGGCGAUACACAUGCAGGGAUGAAUGCAAGGUACACAAUUAAUAUCAUAACUCAGCAUAACUAUCAUUAUCAUGAUCAUUAUUAUUGCAAUUAACCUCCAACCUUGUUGGGUAUCAACGUAUCAUCAUAAUAUCCGCUAGCCCUGUCGGGUAUAAAUAUAAUCACAAUCCAUCCUCUGGCCUUUUUGGGUAUCAAUAUCAUCAUAAUAUUAUUCUCUAGCCUUGCCGAGUGUCAAUAUAAUCACAAUAGUUUCCUCCGGCCUUGCCGGGUAUCAAUAUCAUCACAAUAGUAACCUCCAUCUUUGCCAGGUAUCAAUAUCAUCACAAUAACCAUUACAGAAUAACAUAUACUAAUAUAAUCAUAAACAUAAUCAUAUCACCAUAUAGUAUCUAUCUAGAAAUUUCCUAACUACUCAUUAUUAGCUAAUCAAUGCUAUUAGUAAUGAAACUACUAGGUCGCUCGUCUUCACACGACCUCUAGUUAUUUGUCUAAACAUUAUACUUAUUCAGGGGAUAACAACUAACCAUUAUAUACUAAAUAGCCAACAUUUAACAUCUAACCAAGGUUCAUCACUAGAUCAUAAUCACCAUUUAUCCACCAUUCAUUUUUAUCAACUACUCAUCCUAUAUCUGUUAAUCAUUAUUAGACAACACAUUACUAUUUAUCACCAAACCAUCUUUUAUUAACUAACAUCAUUCAUUAACUAACCAUCGUUAACCAACUAAUCCUUUUUUAACUAUUCAUUAAUCAAUCAUUUAGGAAAUAUUCUGCGUUAUUAACUAAACACCUCUUUAUUACCGACAUUAGUUAUUAUCUAGCCUCAUCAAUAUAUAACCCCUCAUUGGACAACUAAUUGACAUUAUAAACUUAGUCAUCAAUAACACUAAUCUUCACCUAUGCUAAACCAGACAUCAUCAUUAGCCAUGCAUCAACCAUCGAUAGCUACCAUAUUUCAACUAAGCAAGACUCAUUAACUAAUACAUUUGAUUCCUAGCCACCAAGUGCUAUAGUCUCCUACAAGAGAACUAAUUACCACAUAGCGUAACCCUCAGUUAAGCAGAACAAUCAUAAGAUCAUAUUUAAUCUAGGAUCACAUAAGUUUUCAAUAUAAUAAUCAUGAAUAUACCAAAUAUAUGCAUGCCAUCACCAGUAUUCAAUCAAUAAAGUUGUAAGAAACACACCACAUUUUCCUCCAUUCCAUAUCGGAGAGAUGAAUACACAAACAUAUACAUAUUUAUAUUCAUAAACUGUAAUCACAUUAUUUAUAAUGAUAAAUACUUCUCAACUAUUCAAUCACUAUCAUAACACUGCCUCUGGUCCAUUAAUUUAUUUGAAAUAAUCACAAUAUCAUAAUCAUGGCUUUAGGACCACACAAAUCAAGAAUUCAUAUCAAUUAUCAUAUUUAUAAGCCUUAGCAUAUCCCUAAUCAUCUUACAUAUAGGAGGCAUAAUAUUGAUAAGCAUGGCAUCAUCUCUCACACAAGUGGCAUCUCACAUCUAAGAGGAAUAAUAUAGAUAGACAUGUAUUUGUGUAUAGGAUAUCAUAUAUCAAUAGCUCAUACAUCAUAACAAUGAGGAAUAUCACUUCUCUAGGUCAAUUUACAUAUCCAAGAGGAACAUCAUCUCUAUAGGACCAACAAUCAUAACUAAAGUAAAUAGCAACUCUAUAGGCCAAUCAUCAAGUCUAAGAAGAAAUAACAUCACUAUAGGCCAAUCAUCAAGUCUAAGAGGAAAUAACAACUCUAUAGGACAAUCAUCAAGUCUAAGAGGAAAUAACAUAUCUAAAGUCCAACCAUCAAGUCUAAGAGGAAAUAACAACUUUAUAGGACAAUUAUCAAGUCUAAGAGGAAAUAGCAUCUCUAUAGUACAAUCAUCAAGUCUAAGAGGAAAUAAUAUCUCUAUAGGCCACAUAACGUAUCGAGGAGAAAUAUCAUCUCUAAAUGCCCAAUAUCACUUCCACAAGGAGUAUCAUAAUCAUAACUCCAAAUCCAUAAUUUGGGAACAUCAAUACAAGUGACCAAGUUAUGAUGUAACUUUAUUCAAACGUUUACUAGCCUCAUCUAUUUCUAAUAUCCACAACUAAGUCCACAGGACUUAACACAAGCUUAGGCCUAAGUGGGCCAAAUGAUCCCACAUCUAAUCCACAAUUUCCAUAAUUAGGCAUACUAUACCCCAAUCUAGGCUAAGGUAUCUAGUUUAUCUUCUAGAUGUCAAGUAAGCCAUAUUCAAGCCUAAGAUAGAAACUUUAACUAGAAAUACGGGCACUUAAGUCAACUCUAGCCAACUUAAGAUUUCAAGACUACCACACUAGACCAACAAAGCUAAAUAUACAAAUAAUGCUUCAAAUGCUAAAAUCAUAUUCCAAACAUAGCAUUAUAUUAUAUCCAUGCUAUAACUAAUAUAAACUAAUGAGAAGGCAAUAUAAUUUUACAAAGUUAUAAACAUACUAUCUUACGGGUCCAAGACCCUCAUCUAAUUUCCAAGGCAUCAAAAAUCAAGCCUAAGCUAUCUUACUCACAAUCAAUCCUAACAUUCAUAUCCACACAAAAUACAUAUCAUACAUCAUCUAUGAAGGAAAGUGGACAGGAGCCUACCUCAAGGCUAAACCGCAAAACCUCACUUCAUGCACCACAUGAUCACCUUCACUUUACAAUCCUUAAAAUGCCAUCACACUAUCAAAAUCAUAAUCUACCCAUUAAUAUGAGUCUAAUGAUACCCAUAUUUCACUACUAUGCUCUGGAUCCAAAUAUGAAACCAAAACUCCAAGUGUGUCUUACAUACGGAAAAUGAGUUUCCAAGGCCAACCCAAUGUUCACAAGUGAACAAGGAAUCAUAACCCUCAAAGAAUGGGUGAAAACUAAGCAUACUUUGGGCUAAAAUCAAAUCCUAAGCUAAAUUGGGUUUUUGGGUCCAAAUAAAGAAAUUCAAGCAUGAAUUCAAAUUCUUACCUUAAUCUUGAAGAUAAUUGUGAUAAAACAUGAUAAUAAGCUCCCAAGUCAGCCCCCAUGAGAAAUUUUUAGUUAUUGAAAAUAUACUUGAUAACGCUCAAACUACACCUCUCAAUAAGAAUGUAAGCGAUCAUUGUCAAUAUAAAACCCAACUAGGUUGGGGUCAAAUCCCACAGGGAGUAUGCUGUGAACUCAAGUCAUUUGCAAUUUAAUCCACUAGUAGUUUAAUGUUUCCUAAAAUGGGGGGUUUGAGUUUAACAAUUAAUUAUUGGUCACUUUAAUUUCAGUGUUUGUAAUCAAGAGUUUAUGAAAUAACCAGAAUUAUGUUCACUAGGGCUUUCGGUACUUAACAGAUGAUAAUAGUGGUUCAAGAUUCUCACGUUAGGUAGGACACCAAGUUAUCUUUAUCGAAGUUAUGCUUAAAUGUGUCUCGACCUAUUUAAGCAUUUAUUACCUAAUCCUCUCGGACUUAGGGAAUUUCCAAGUCCUUUUUAAUAAUUCACUUCCCACUAUAUUUGAUUUAUUUCUCAUGCAAAUCAAAGCAGGUGUUGUCUAUUAUUUGAAACCAACAAACUUUAAUUAAAACCUCAAAAUUAUCAAGAAAUCCUACCACCUUUCGAAUCCCAUAAUUUAGGUUAAUGGAAUUUAGCCACUCAUAAUGCAAAAAUCAAAACAACGAGUUUUAUUCAUGCUUUGAAAGUUAAAAUUACCAUAAGAAGAAUAAUAACUAGUGAGUCGCAGAUUAGAUCACAAAGGAAAUCCCAAAAUAAUGAUAAUAAUCUCUUCAAAGUAUUUGCUUUUUCAAGCCAAAAAUAGAGAGAGAAAUAUCUAAGUAUAUUGUCAAAACUCACUGUGUCGAAUCAGAAAACCCUAAAACAAAGCUUUUAAAUAGUUCACCCUAAUUGUGGAAACAAAAUAAUAAAAUUUAGAUAUACCUCGGAUUAGGUGACGACAUUUAUGUUAGCCUAUCAGGAGGCUGAAUACUUGUCACAAAUAUCAUCAGCUUCUUCUUUAGUUUUGGCUCUUCCUACUUAAGGCUGACGACAAUCUUGAUACCUUAUCAACUCCUUGAUGACCUAUCAUAAAAUGUCGCCAAGGCUCUGCUUCAGUUCUUCAGUGCUGCCUUACGUUGACGACAUUCUUGAUAGCUUAUCAGACCCUUGACGAGUUAUCACAAAAUAUCAUCAAAGACUUUAUCUUAGGCCAAUUCUCUGUCUACAGAUGACAAUGACCUUGAUAGCUUAUCACAAGGCUGAUAAUUUAUCAUAAAUGUCGUCAACCAUACUUUUCUUCAGAUUUCAAUUUCUUUGCUUCUAUUUUUGUUGGUUCUAUAUCAUAUUAGCUUCUACUAUAAAAUCAAACAUAAACCAAUCAAAAAUGACAAAAGUUGCUUAAGACUUUGCAAUUAUUCUUAGUCAAAAGCCUCAAAUGUGUUACCGUUAGCUCACACAUCAACACCCUCAACUUAAAACAAUUGCUUGUCCUUAAGUAACUCAGCACAACUAAGAGAAUACAAAGUACAUUUGGCAGUCAAUCAUCCAUAUUAUCUUAGAACACUUUCACCAUCUCCAAGGUCACUCAAUUCAAGAACAAUGAAGAACACAAAUGAACACAAAGGGAUCCAUAUACGACAUCAAUUUAACUAUAACAACCAUGCAUAGACCAGUAUUACACUACCCGAAUAAGUUAGUAACUAGCAAUGUAAGCAGUGUGCCAUUAAAGUAAAGAAAUACCCCUUAUCUCAUAUCAGGAAUUAUAUAUGUAACCAUGGAGAUAAUCAAAACACUUACUCUCAGAAUAAAGUUCCAAUCAGUGUAUGAAAAGUACCAUAGGCUUGCCCUUAUUUGCAUUACCCAGAUCUUUAGAUAGGUCCGUUAGGAUCACUAUAGGACUUCUCUUAGGCUUGUAAUAUAGGCUAGGGGCUGGUAGGAUACUCGAUGGUAUUUAAAGUGACUAAGCCUCCCUGAAACUAGACUAGCUUUUUGGGGUUUCACUUGUUAUCUCUUUUUACUCUUCUCUUUCCUUGAUCACACUUAUUCAGGCUGAGUGCAGUUUUUAUCACAAUCACUUAUUAUUUUUCAUAAUUUUUCUUUUUUUUUCUUUUUUUCUCCAUACCUAGCUUUGUAUUCUUUUCUUUUAUGCUACCUCUCUUUAUACUCAUUCUAUAUGACGUACCUCUAUGAUAGCCACCAUCAACUUAGGCCAUUUGCCUAGGUCAAGGUGCACAUUGUCCAAGGAGAACAAUGGCCAAAUUAGGUUCAUUAUGAUCUAAAUGAGAAAAUGAUAGGUAUCAUACAAAGAAAUAGGUUAAUUAAGCUCAAAAUAGGGAUCAAGGGAUACUAUGCACACAGGUAAGGUCAUUUAGGCGAAAGUGAGCUAAAAUCAAAACGGCCUAUAAUCCUUUCAUAACCCCUAUCAUUCAAUCUAGAUAAGACCAACUGGGUAAGUUCUGGCUUCAGCAUACAGAGGGAACUAAGUAGUUUCUCACACACACAUGGCCCACAAGUAUAUCACAAGCUAUGACUCAUUCAGUUCAUGCAACUUUUUAGCAAUAAUUACUAUAUUACUAGAACUAAUGCCAUAUAAAGAUGCACAGUGGUUACACUUGAAUGCAAAUCACACUAUUAAAGAAUUAGACCACUUGAAGAGGUGUACAAAAGUCACAAAAAAAAUUAAACUGCCUCAAGUAUAAGUACUUUUCCUAGCUAGCUACAAAAUUUUACAACAACAAUUUACUCCAUACCCUCAACUUAAAAUCAAAGAAAAUCUAAACUUAGGGUUAGAGUAUACCUGGACUGGAUCAUUCCCAGGGGUCAUGGUUCCCUAACACUACUGCUGCAUCUCCAUUAGGAGACUCGCUCUGUUCUGGUGCAGCUAGUCUUUCUGUCUCUGAAGGCCUACUAGUAAAGUCACCUGCUGCUCUCGCUCGGAUGGCUACCUCUCAUCUCUCAUCAUCAACUAGAGACUCGAUCCUUGCCCUCUCUAGCUCCUCCUUUUUCUUCUUCUUUCUUGCCCUCUUUUCUAUUAUUCUUUCUUUAUCACUGUUGGGCUUCUCUCUCUUCUCUUUUCCUUUUUUCUUACCUUUCUUCUUUUUUUUCUUUACCGGUCCCUCGGUGAUAUCAAACAAUGGGAUUUCUCCCUUUGACUCCUUUACUGUCAGCUCUAAUGACACCAUAAAUUGAUGUUGCUAUAACUUUAUAACCUCUGCCUUCACCUUGGCCAAUUCUUACCUAAGUAGUGACAUCUCUGGGUAUGACCUCUCCUUUGACCAUGCAUUAAAGCGAUUCUCCAAUUCAUCAAUCCAGCCCGACAGGGACUUGUAAGGCUCAAGUGCAGCCUUAACUUUUUUUUCAACUGUAACUGCGAAUUGCUUGGCAAAGAGUUUAAGCUGAGCCUUGCACCACUUGGACUAAUUUUCUACUCUCUUGAAAUUCAUAAGAGUAAAGGUAAAUUCUAUUGUAGGCAUAAUAGUUGGAGGAUUUGACUCAGUUCUAGGCACUGAUGAUUCUGCCAUUGUUAUGGAUAUUGGUGGUAUAGCUUCAGAAUUUGAUAUCUCUGCAUUAGGCACUGAACUAGUACCUAUGACUUGUGGAUCAGUGGGAAUCUUUGCACCCCUGUCAAGCAUUAGACCUCGCGACCCGAAUUUUUAUCUCUUCUAACUUGACAAUCGUAGGCACAUUCGGUGCCCUACACAACUUUAUAAUUAAAUAAGGGAAGUGAUAUGCUGUAUUAGACCUCGCGACCCAAAUUUUUAUCUCUUCGACAAUAAUCUCUCCAAAAUUUAAUUUGAGGUUAGCCACAAAACUUGAGAUUAAUAUUUCUCUGUCAUCCCCGAGAAUAUUAUCACUAUCUGUGGGCAUUAACCAAGUACGAAUACAACCCUACCAAAAUCUUACCUCUGCAGUCAGUGAGGCUUUGAAUAUUCUUUCACCUGGGUUGGUCAGCUAUUCCUAUUCCUCAUCUACUAUAAGUGUGGCUAACCAAGUCUGUUGAUUUUUGGGAUGCUUUAACCGGGUAUAGAAAGUGGGUGAAGAGGUCUGAGGAGUAAAAUUUGGGCCGUGAAGGAACAUACUGAUUGUUGCUUUAGAAACAUCCACCAUUACGCCCCGUACUGGAACUUUGUCCAACAAAGGUUGGUCAGCUGCUUUUUGUCCUUCUUUGCACAUGUUUUAUAACCAAGCUUGGUAGUUCGCAUAGAAUUCCCUAACUAGUGUAGGGCAGAAUGCAUUUCCUCCUUAUGUAGUCCAUCCUAACUCAUAGCCAUGAAGUUUUUGCUCCAUCUCUGGGUACCUGCUCAACCCCUUAGUGAUGAUUUUCUUCUCCUCAAAGGCUGGCCUCUUGACAGCUCUUUUGUUAUUUCUACGUAGCCCAGCAAAAAAGAUUUUCUAAGCUUUGGGAAUCAUCCAUAUAGUGCCAUCUCGGAUUUCAGGAUUCUUGUAUUUGACCAUAGUUCCCCAAAUCAGAGAGUCAUUAUCAUUUUGUGGCUUAGCAGAAGGGGACUCAGUUGUUGGUCCCUCAAACUCAUGAUCGUCAGACUUAGGUUGCUCUGAAUCAUGCUCUUCAGAUGAAGCAUGUCAUACUCUUGUUGCUCAGAGGCCGUCUAUUCAAAAGCUGUAUGCUCAGAUGUUGUUGGUUCAUUGUCACUUUCUUCACUCUCCUCCACCUCAACUGGUGGGGGUGGCAGAGUCUUUUUAGGGCUUUGCUUCUUCUUUUGAUUCCUGAGUAGAGGCUCUUCCUCUUCAUAAUUAGACUCCUCAUCAAUGAUUCUCUAGGGUACAGUCUUCUAUUGUUCCUUCUUUGUAAGUUUGGGACUCUUUCUUUUAGGUUCCAUUUCAAGACCUAAUGGGAGCCUUCAAUGUGAUUACACAAACAAGAGGAAGUAAGAAGAAGUUCUUGAUUUUAAUUGCAAACCCAUAGACACCCAAAAACUUGCUUUUGUUUUAGUUGGAAAGUCUUUGAAAAGGGAGGAAAAUAAACCAAUGAUGGAAAGAAAAUAACUUAAAGAAAAUAAAAACUUAAGCCGGAAGGUUGAAAGGCCACGUUUUGGGCCAGGUCAGAUAUUUUUAAUUUGGCCCAGAGUGUCAGCUAAAUUUUGGGCUUUGGUGACUACAUUACUGAGAAGUCGUCACGGGUGUGAUAGCUUAUCACAAAUGUCAUCAGCCUUAUUAGAACCUUCUUCAGAGCUGACAUCCCUGAUGACAAAGCUGACAGCUUAUCACAGUCGUGAUAGCCCAUCAAAAAAUGUCGUCAGGGGCACUUGACUGAAUACAAUUGACUCUACCUUCUUUGAAUUAAACCCUAACUAUAAAAAAAAUUUUACUGGAAUAUAAAAAUUUUGGGUUGCCUUCCAAUUGCGCCUGAUUUACUGCUGCGGCACGACUUGGUUAUGUUGACUACUCAGACUUUGCCAAGACAACCUAUUGAUACCCUUUUAUCGUUUUCAUAGAAUACCUUAAUGAUUCAGAAAAUACUCAUCUCUUUUUGUUGAGUCAUAGAUGAGUGUAUUUUGAAGCAUGCUUCUUUGUCAUUGAGCCGGAACGUUAGCUCGAUCAACUCCAUGUCUACUAGUACUCUCCCAGUUGCAAGUAAUGGCCUACCCAAGAUAAUGGGCACUUUGAAAUCCAUCUCGCAAUCUAGGACUACAAAAUCAGUAGGCAGAAUAAAAUCGACCACCUUUACCAAAACAUCAUGUAAUAUGCCCACAGGCCGUUUCACAGACCUAUCUGCCAUCACCAACCGCAUAUUUGUUUGGGUAGGAUUCCCCAAACCUAGUUUCUUAUACACAGAUGGUGGCAUUAGGUUUAUACUGGCUCCCAAAUGACAUAGUUCUUUUGUGAAUUUCAGGGAACCAAUAGUACACAGGAUAGUAAACGCUCCCAGAUCUUUCUUUUUCUGAACUAAAGACCUUGUAGAGAUAGCACCACAAUGAAGGAGAUUCUCCUCCAGCUCAUGGAUAACCUUCCAUUUCUUAGUCACAACGUCUUUCAUGAAUUUUACGUAUCCUGGAAUUUUCUAAGGUGCCUCAACCAAAGGCACAUUUAUUGUAAAUUGCUUGAGCAUUGCCAUGAAUUUGUUGAAUCUUGCAUCGUUCAUUUUUUUCUUAAAUCAUUGAGGAAAGGGAGGUGGUGGUAUUGGGAUAGAUUUCAGCAUUACCUCCUUUUCCUUCUCUUUACUUUUCUCUGGAGCAUUAUCAGAAUUAUCUAGCUUCUCCGACUCCACUAGAUCACCUCCUUCCGAUUCAUCAAAAACUACCUCAUCAUUUAUAGAUUUGCUUACAAAAGGGCUAGGUAACAUCUUACCACUUUUAGUGGUAAUAGCAUGCCAUGCAUGAGCCAUAAUUCUACCAAUUCUGGACCGUAUCACUCGAUAAUAUUUAUCUCUUCCUCUAGUUGAAUAUUAUGGAAAAUUUGCUCAUCUGCUGCUCCAACUAUUUGAUUGUGGUAGAGUGGGAGUGCACCAACUGACUGAUAGAUAUCAGAUCAGUCUUCAUGGUGGUUACACUAGAGUUGGUUGCCUCCACUCCCUUCAACAACUUAGCCAUCGUGUCCUUUAAGGACAUUUUUUCAGAACUUAUUGAACCAGCCUCAUGAUUUCCAGGAGGAACAUAUAGCCCACUCCUGUCAUUGUUAUUCCUCCAAUUUCCCUGAUCCCUAUCUUUAUAACCAAGCUUAUCAUAGUAAGUCUGACCUUGAUUCCUUUGGCUACUGCCUCGAAAUCCCCUGAUUAUUAACAUAGUUCGCUUGUUCAUCAGCAUCAGCAUCAACUCUAUCUAAGAUCCCACAAUAUUUUCCUUUUCAAUCUUUCCUGAUAGCAAGUUCUUGAUCAGCAAGUCCAUCUACUUCUUAAGGUGAGCCAUGUCUUGGUCAUGCUCAUCUUAUUUUCUGCGUUGUUCUAUAGUAAUACCUACAUAAGCAGCGGGGCUAGCUACCACAGAGUCUUUGGUAUGCCAUGCCCGACUCUAUUUGGUCAUUCUAUCCAGCAUAUCUGAAGCCUCUAGGAAUGUAAUAUCAACAAAUGAACCACCAACGAUAUUAUCUAUAAUUGGCUUUGUAAUAGAGUUAAGGGCCCUGUACAAAGUCUCCAUCAAAUUUCUGUCCAUCAUGUUGUGGUUCGGACACUGUGUCAAGUUCUUCUUGAAUCUCUCCCAAGUGUCAGGCAAGGCUUUAGUCAGGAGCUGACUAAAGUUGCUGAUCUCAUCCCACAACUGUACCCUCCUUGAAGGCGGAAAGAACUUUUCUAGGAAAGCUUCUUUCAACUUCUUCCAAUUGGCUAUAAAAUCGGGUGUCAGCUCAUUUAGCCAUAAUGUUGCCUCCCUAGACAGAGAAAAUGGGAACAAUCUCAAUCUGAUAGCGUUCUGGCCCACUCUUGGAUUAUCAAAAGAUUUACAGAUGGUGACAAAAUUCACCAGAUGCAAGUUCUGGUCAUCCCCAGGAAGGCCACCAAACAAUCCCUUCAAAUUGAGGAGUUGGAUCAUAGUACUCGUAAUGUUAAACUUGGCCCCAGGUUCCAAUGGUGGAGGAAUGAUUGCACCCGUUGCACCUGCCCCAUCCAUGCCAUCAUUAUCAUCAUUGGGAUCAUACUGGACCGGAUGGUACUCUUGCCUUUCUCGGAAUGGACGGUUCCUGUUAACAUUACCUCAUAAUAGUGCAGCUAUCUGCUCUGAACACCUUGGGUUACCAGGAUUCACCAACUUCUCAUCUCCAAAAUAUUCAUCCUCAAUGUUUGGAUGUUGUGCCCAUUGCCCGACAUUUUGCACAUUCACCUGAGAUCUAGCUAAGGCUGCUAGUCUGUCAGCUUUUUGUUGUUCUGCUAUUCUUCCAAUUUGUUGCGAUUCUGGAUUGAGUGGUAAAAAUGGUUCUCCAGAACUUCUGGUUCUUGGCAUACACUGUAAAGAUCUUGCAAAUAAACAAAAACAACAAAUAAACUCAAAACUAGGAAACUUAACUAACAGUUAAUUUGUGCAUACAAACUACUGUUUACAACCGUAUUCCCCGACAACGGCGCCAUUUUUGAUAACGCUGAAACUACACCUCUUAAUGAGAAUGUAAGCAAUCAUUGUCAAUAUAAAACUCAACUAGGUUGGGGUCGAAUCCCACAGGGAAUAUGGUCUGAACUCAUGUCAUUUGCGAUUUAAUCCACUGAUAGUUUAAUGUAUCCUGAAAUGGGGGGUUUGAGUUUAACAAGUAAUUAUUGGUCACUUCAAUUUCAGUGUUUGUAAUCAAGAGUUCAUCCAAUAACAAGAAUUAUGUUCACUAGGGCUUCCAGUACUUGACAGAUGCUAAUAGUGGUUCAAGAUUCUCAUGGUAGGUAGGACAACAAGUUAUCUUUAUUGAAGUUAUGCUUAAAUGUCUCUCAACCAAUUUAAGCAUUUAAUUACCUAAUUCUCUCGGACUUAGGGCAUUUAUAUUCACUUCCCAAAUUUUACCUCAGGUUAACUAACCUUGUUAUAGCGCUGAUUAUUAAAUGGAGUUUUUCCAAGUCCCUGUUGAUAAUUUAUUUCCCACUAUAUUUGAUCUCUUUCUCAAGCAAAUCAAAGCAGGUGUUGUCUAUUGUUUUCAACCAACAACCUUUAACUAAAACCUCAAAAUUAUCAAGAAAUCCUACCACCUUUAGAAUCUUGAAUACUCAACACCUUAUCAAGACCUAACCCUAGAUCCCAUAAUUCAGGUGAAUGAAAUUUAGCCACUCAAAGUGCUACAAUCGAAACAACGAGUUGUAUUCACACUUUGAAAGUUAAAAUUACCAUAAGAAGAAUAAUAACUAGUGAAUCGCAGAUUAGAUCACAAAGGAAAUCCGAAAAUAAUGAUAAUAAUCUAUUCAAAGUAUUUGCUUUUUCAAGCCAAAAGUAGAGAGAGAAAAUAUCAAAGUAUAUUGUCAAAACUCAAUAUGUCGACUCAAAAACCCUAAAACAAUGAUUUUAAAUAGUUCACCCUAAUUAUGGAAACAAAAUAAUAAAAUUCAGAAAUCUCUUGGAUCAGGUGACGACAUUUGUGACAGCCUAUCAGGAGGCUGACGACUUAUCAUAAAUGUCAUCAGCUUCUUCUUUAGUUUUGGCUCUUCCUACUUAAGGCUGAUGACAAUCUUGAUGACUUAUCAACUCCUUGAUGACCUAUCACAAAAUAUCGUCAAGGCUCUGCUUCAGUACUUUAGUGCUGCCUUAGGUUGACGACAUUCUUAACAGCUUAUCAGACCCUUGACGACUUAUCACAAAAUGUCGUCACAGACUUCAACUUAGGCUAAUUCUCUAUCUAUGGCUGACGAUGACCUUGAUAGCUUAUCACAAGGCUGACGACUUAUCACAAAUGUUGUCAACCACACUUUUCUUCUGAUUUCAACUUCUUUUCUUCUAUUCUUAUUCGUUCUCUAUCAUAUCAGCUUCUACUGCAAAAUCAAACAUAAACCAAUAAAAAAAGAUAAAAGUUGCUUAAGACUUCACAAUUAUUCUUAGUUAAAAGCCUCAAAUGUGUUAGUGUUAGCUCACACAUCAAUACUACAAACCAACUCAGAAUCUUAGCACGAUAUGUAUGAAAAAAAUAAAGAACUCCAAAGAAUGACGCAUAGCCUCCCGAAGAUUGGAAAUGGCCAUCAAUGUUUUGACCCGCAGGACUCUAUUAGAAACUUGCUCUUGUACCAAUAAUACCAGUAAAACCUAGGCUCUGAUACUAAUUUGUCACAUCCCAAAUUUUGAGUCAUGAUGGCACCUACCAUAACCCACUAGUAGGUAAGCCGACACCAUAACCCGGAGCUAAUGCAAUGGGUUACCUUGGUAGAAACAUCCAACAUGGACCCUAUGUAGCAACACAAUAUAACAACAACAUUCUACAAACAAAAUUACUAACAUUCGAAUACCAAUACCAUGACCUGGUAGUAUAAGUACAAGAGCAACUCUAAAUCUGACAACAAAAAUUAGAAUUUGAAGUCUAGAAACUUAAAUAGUCUUAUACAACUGUCUUGAGUACAAAAGACAAGUAAAGAAAGAAUAAAAAGAGGGAAACUCAAACUCCAAGAUCUCGCCCUAUCCCCUGAUGAUCAACACAACACGAUCUCGACUCAACAGUGGAAACUAGAACUCAGGUUUGCACCAAAAAGGUACAUAAAUGCAGUAUGAGUACCAAAACACGGGUACUCAUUACGCAUCAUCGGCUGACUGAGCUCAAAUAUGAUAUAAAGAUGAGAUAAAGUAAGACAAUGAUCUUAAUGUCAAGGGGUAGGAUCGAACCUGAAUCUACUUUAAUACUACUGUAAGAACAUCUAUACUACUAAAGCAAUAACAUGACAUCCUGUUUCAAAAUACUCCAUAAUCACCAUAACAACUGAGAAUCAUUUUGAAAGAGUACAGUUAUAUACACAAUAUCAAAACAUCUACUUUAUAUAAUCAUCAUUAACCAUCUUUAGACCAUAAACACAAGAACUUACCACAACGUCCACUAUCAGGAAGUACACGAAAGAGAGCACAACAAAGAACGCAUCACAACAUCCCAUACCACCGAAGAAUAUAUAAAAGAACAUCAAACAAGAACUCAUCACAACAUCCUAUACCACCGGAGAGUACACCAAAGAAUACAACCAAUAAUACAAUAAAGCACAACUACUCCAUCAAUUUAACAAAAAUCGCAGGUAGCAUAACCCCGCCAUGGGUCAUUACCGAAAUCCACUUCCAAUUACCCAUACCUUAAUUCAACAUAAAGAAAGCAACAUUGUCAUAGCAUAGGUUUGUAAUCAUUAAUUCUAUAAUUCAUUGAUAAAUACUGCGAAGUCCACACUACUUAACCUUAUUUUUCCAAAAGUCAAAAGAUUACAAGUCUUAAAAUCACUAGUAAUCAAAUUGGGGAAAAACUACAAGACACCCAUAGUAUAGGUUAUUCAACUAUCAUAAGGCCAUUCUUUAACUAGGAUCAUCAUUACAUGAGUUAUCAACUAAGCCAUCUCAACUUCACAUGUUAGGAGAUAAUUUAACUAACCAUCACGCAAUACUAGAUCCAUCAUCACUAAGCAUGUCACAAACUUAAGGACUAGUUUCCAUAUUUUAAUCAAGUAAAGUCCACCAACUAGUUUACUAGGUUUCGAGGUUUCAAAUAAUAAUCAUAUACUUUAGAAGUAGCUAGUUAUCACAUAAGCCACCUUACUAGGCAAGAUUUCAUAGUAUAACCUCUUAUUCAAGUCAAGUAUAUAUAUAGGUUAGCCCUUGAAUUUUUUAUGAAAGUUUACACAUAACGCUAAGCCUUAACUUAAUAUUAGACAUAAAUUUCCCCUAGUAGCUAAUUUAGCAUCAACAAGGGUCACACCUCUUAUAUAGUUAUUUGGAACAAGAAAUGAAUAAUAAUUUACCAGGAGAGACCUCAUAAUUCAAGCAUAUAGGUGGUUGGCCCCAUAUGGCCUAAACUUACAAAUAUCAAUACAUAUAAGUAAAUUUGGCCCACACAGCAUCAUUAUGUUCUUACCUCUUUCGGAUUCAUCAGGCAUCAUCACAAUAUUGACAUAUUUCUCUGAAUUCAUCGGGAUUAUCAUAAUAUCACACAUUCCUCUAGAAUUGAACCGGGCAUCAUCAUAAUAUAACAUAUUCCUCCAAAUUCACCGAGCAUCAUCAAAAUAUCACAUAUUCCUCCGAACUCGAAUCGGGCAUCAUCAUAAUAUCACAUAUUCCUUCGGACUCGAAUCGGGUAUCUUUAUAAUAUCACAUAUUCCUCCAGAUUCACUGGGCAUCAUCAUAAUAUCAUAUAUUUCUCCAGACUCAAACUGGGCAUCAUCAUACUAUCACAUAUUCAUAUAGAGUCAAACCGAGCAUCAUUAUACUAUCACAUAUUUUUCUAGAUACAACAACAUACGUCCACAUGCAUAGCCAAACCAAUAACCAAAUACUCAAGCUCACAAUACAUAAAAAAAUAGGGAUGUGGGAUAACACUUGCCAUUUUACCUUACUAAUAAGCUUCACACGUAAUGUGAGCAUCAAUAAGAGCAUGAGUAUUUACCAAACAUUCACAAUAAUCACUUAACAAGGUUAUUCAAGUCAUGAUAAUAAGAAAAUAUGAUAAUCGAGUGCAACCAUCCCAACUUCUAUACAUAUACAUAUAGCUUGGACAAUCACUACGUAUCUAGGUCGCUAAGCAUUUACUUUGUUCAAGCUUAAGGUGGGUCAAUUCCCACUUCUAAAUCCCGAGAAUACCAAGCUUACUAAAAUAUGUCUAGCAUCUACCCAAAAUUAGGCUAAGUCAUCCAUACCUCACCAUAAAGUCUUACCAAUCCUUUCUAAAUCUAUAGGGAAAGUCUCUUCAAGAAUCCUUCCUAAGUAAACCCAACACCAAGGUCAUCUCCUAUCUAGGAAUUAUAUAGGUUAAUACACUCCUACAGAUAGAGAAGUAUACCAUUCAUGUCUACUUAGGACAACUAUAGUAUUCUCACACUAUUCAUGAGACCACAAUUAAGCUAACCAAGGUCCUAAAGUAAGUGUCAAAUAUCAUACCUUACAAAUCCAUGGACUAUAACAAUUAAUAAAUCCCAAGUUCACUAAUUAAUCAACUAUCGUCUAAAUUCCCCACCCAAUCUCGCAAGAUAUUAAUGAUUAUAUUAUAAACAAGCUCAAUCUGGACCACGAGUAAGCCUAACCUACCUUGAAUCCAAGCAAAUCAUGAACCAACGAGUUUUUCCUUUCCUUUUUGAGAAGCUUUCUCUUCCACAAGCAAUGCUAUCAACAAUAUAAUCUAAUCAUUACAACAAGAAUAAAAAUACCCAUUAUAGCACCAUUGUGCCAUGGGUUUCAAAAUGACAUCAAACCUCAAGUGGGUCCUACCUUUGGAAAAUGAGUUGCUGAUACCAACCCAUAGUCUAAAUAUUAUUAGGGAGCUAAUAACCCUCAAGAAAUUUAAGUAAAUCAAUCAUAUUUUUGGAUACAAUUGAACGUCAAAGACUUAGGAUUUUUUGGUCUAGAAAUCAAGAAAUUAAUAUCAAAUUUGAAAAAAUCUUACCUUAGAUUUGUAGAAGAAAAAUUAGAUUAACACAAGUUGCUAAGCUUCUAAUCAAUCGACAAGACUCAUUUUUUCUGUCAACAAAUAUUUAUGGCUUUUAGGGUUUUGAAAAUGCUGAAAAUAUCUCAAAAAUUGGCCAAAGGGCCUUUUUAUACGAGUUCAAAUGGGUCAGUAGGGUCAAAACUUGUUUUUCACCUACCAGACUCAUUCAGACUCUGUUUUUCACAAACGAACUAUGUAACCUUACUAAAUUUGAUAUUUUAGAUACAUUGGUGAAGUUAGAUUUGCCAUCCGAGGUCAUUUAAGCUACUUGUUGGUCCCACACCCAUAUAUUUCGACUUUUGACUUUUUGACUAAUGGGUCAAAUUAGCUUGGGUGCUGUGGGAUCCGAACCAAAAGUCUACCUAUCGUAAAAUCAAUAUUACAUAGCUACUGAUGUAGUCAAAAUUUGUAUCUGAAAUUGUUUUGGUAAAGUUUUUGUUUAGAGGCCAUUUGGAAUCGACGAAGACUUCAAAUUGGAAAAGUGGUUCUAAAAACCAAACAAACUGUCAUGUAACCGACUUAUCGAUUCCACCAAGUAACUAAUGACUUGUGACGGCUAUGAAGGAGCUCUAUAAGCAAAGAUAAGCAAAACACAGCUAAUGGCCUGGAGGUUCAUUACAAAUACACACUUGAAUUUAUUUUUGGUUAGAAAUGAUAUAAAUACCAAGUUCUUUAUCAACUACAGUAUAUGAAGGACUUUGUUGAGUGUCAACGCCUUUCCUUAUGUUAUCUUCAAGAAAAUUUUUCUUGUUCCUUCAACCUUUGCUAUUGUGGAGUUAUCCAUAUAAAUCUUCUCCUCAUCUUGAGCCGAAGCAUAAGAACCAAAAAACUCCUUGUUGGCACAUAUGUAGCAUGUGGCACUGGAAUCAAUCCAUCACUCUUUAGGAUUACCCACCAAGUUACAUUCUAAGAGCAUGGAUCAUAGAUCAUCCACUUUAUUUUUUGAUUCAGCCAUGUUGGCUUGAUCCUUCUUCUUGACUUUCUUUGGGGCCCGAUAAUCUAUGGAUUUAUGGCCAGCCUUGCCAUAAUUAAAGCAAUUUUCUUUGAACUUUUUAUUUAGAGGAUUGCUUUGUUGUUCAAAUGUUUUCUUUUAUUUCUUUAAGUUAUUAGGGUCAUCUUCAUCAAGAUUUGCUCCACUAAUUACAGAAUUCCCUUUUUCAUCUACUUUGUUAUCUUCUUCAGUAUGUAACCUCACGAUGAGGCCUUCAACAGAAAUUUUCUUUUCUUUAUGCUUCUAGUAAUUUUUAAAGUCGUUCCACAAAGGUGACAACUUUUCUAUUAUAGCCACUACUUUGAAAGCCUUAUUCACAAUCAAACCUACAACAAAGAUUAUAUGAUUGUUAAAAAGAACUUUAAUAUGUUCAAGUAAGGUACUCACUAUGUUUAUACCUUCUGCUAGGAGAUCAUGGAUGAUCACUUACAGUUGUUGCACUUGAGAGAUGAUAUUCUUACGGUUUGUCAUCUUAAAUACAAGAAAUUUUGCAAGAAGAACUAUUUAGUUCCAGCAUCCCCAGUUUUAUAUCUUAAUUCCGAUGCAUCCCAUAAUUUUUUCAAGGUUUUUAGACCGCUGUACACAUUGUACAGAUACUCUUGAAGACUACUUAGUAUAUAUUUCUUACAUGAAAAGUUUGAGCCUUUUCUUGCCUGCAUUACUAUAAAACGUUCCUUGUUCGGUAUCUCUUAGGGAAAUUGUUUAACAUUUUCAAAGAUAAACCUUUAAAAACUUAGAGUCGUCAAAUAGAAGAACAUCUUUUGCUACCAACGUUUGAAAUUCACACCUGGAAACAUUUUGAAUUUUUUUGUUGGUGCCAUAGUGAGCGCGACACUCGUAUGGCUUAUUGUAGCAACAGUUGUAGUUGCUAUACUUGUCUUUUUACCAUUUUAAUGACUUUCAACAGGCAUUUUUUCUGUCACAAAAAGACAACCAAUUUAGUAUGUCAGAAGAAUACUAACUAUAAAGUUUUAAAAACUCUAAGCACCAACUUGUUUCUAGUUUAACAGUGAAGUUUUUAUGUUUUUCAAAUCGUCAAUCGAAUGAACUUUAACUUGUGGUAAAAUUUUUAUAUCUUUAAAUCACUAUUAAGUUCAAACAGAGUAGAAAUUCAAAUUCUUUAAUCUUUAGAAGCAUAAAAAUACAGAGAUUUCAAUGAAUCAGUGAAGUAUUUAUAUUCUGCAAACCAAAUUCCCAAAUUGAUUUGUCGGUUAAGUUUUUAUAUUCUAUCUGUAUUGAUUAAUCAUGUGUUUCAAGGCAUCCCUAUACAUCUAUUAUCAAAACUCAAUCCUCCUAAAGGGGUACUAAGGCAUUUACAUAGCAUCUUUGCUAUGUUUUUCCGGAAGAACACCACAGAUAAGAAGAGUAGACAUUGGGUGAGUUGGGACACUUUAUGCUUACCUAAAUUAGAAGGAGGUGUUGGUUUUAGGUCUCUUUUUGAUGUUUCUAAUGUUCUUUUUUGUAAAAUUUUAUGGAACUUGAGGAGUAGACCUUCACAAUUGGGAGCUUUUAUGACCAACAAAUAUUGCAAAAAAGCUUCAUCCAGUAUUGACCUAAUGUAGGGGAGAUUCCCCUAUAUGGAAAAAGCUAAGAUUUGACAGAGAGCUCAUAGAGCAUCAAAUUUGGUGGAAGAUUGAGAAUGGGAAUUCUAGUUUUUGGUAUGACUUUUGGACUACAAUGGGAGCAUUAUAUCACAUUAUCGCAGAUAUAGGGGAUGGGGAAAUUGAAGUUAGGAAUUUUACAACUGUAAAUAGGUGGAAUGAGCAAAGUUUGAGUAAAUUUUUCCCUAAAGAGAAUGUAGAUUUCAUCAUUAAAAACAUCUGAUCUCCAAUGCAAAUAGAUAAUCUAGAUAAAUAGUGUGGAUGCUUGAACCUAGUGGAAUUUUCUCAGUCAAGAGUGUGUGUGAGUAUACUAUACAAAAGGAUCAGAAAGAAGACAUAUUUUAAUAUUUAUGGAGUGAUAAGCUGCCUUUUAAAAUAUCUUUUUUCACUUGGAGAAUGUGGAAAUUCAGGGUGCCAGUGGAUAAAAUAGUGCAACACAUGGGUGUUAACAUGGUUUCUAGGUGUUGGUGUUGCACUAAUGGUUACUAAUGUUGCAGGUAUAUACAUUGAAGGCUUACAGUUAUCACAAGUGAUCAUUAAAUGGUGGCCAAGAAAAUGUUGUUCAAACUUAAAGCUACUUAUGAGAGCUAUAUCAUCUAUAAUUAUUUGGAACCUAUGGAAGAGAAGGAAUAGAUUAAAGCAUUGAAAUACAUCAUCAUUUACUCAUUUAGUUUUCAAGGUCAACGCUAACCUAUGAAGACUCGGGAGAAUUCUACAUCCAAAAAUACAUGAUUUCCCAAUACACUGGUAAAAUAUUAUGGUAUAUUAAGAGAACCUUAAAGCCAAACUAUUUCAUCUUCCAAUUUGCUGGAAACCACUGGAAGGAUGUCUAAAAUACAACACUGAUGGUAUAUCAAGAGGCAAUCCAUGUAGGAGCACCUGCAAUUUCUUCUUGAGGAACUUUGCAGGUGAUUUAAUAUAUGCUCAAGGGGAAAAAAUUCAGGAAAGCACAAUUCUAGAAGCAGAAGCCAUGGCAAUAAAAAAGGCUCUAGCACACUGUGUGACAAAAGGGAUUACUAAAGUUAGUCUGGAAAUGGAUUCACUAAUGAUGAUUAAAAUUCUUACAAAAAUGUGAUUACCUUGGAAUAUUAUUGGGAUCGUGGAAGCAGAACAGAAAUAUUUAGAACUAUGUCAGGUUCACAUCCAACAUGUAUACAAAAAGGGUAAUUAUUUGGUUGAUUGCUAGCCAAUUUAGCUUUUGAUAAUACAGGUAGACUUGUCUUUAAUUUCUUCUCAGAAUUACCAAGUCAUGCCAGAAGGAUUUUGAAUCUAGAUAAGCAUCAAGUGCCAAAUUUAAGAAUUCGUACUAAGGAAAUAGUUAGAUAUAAGGAUGGGUGUCAAGGAUCCGUCACAACAAUUAUAAGAUGAGUUCAAGCAUUUUUAUUUUCUUGAUGUAGAUUAGUAUUUCUAGUACCUUUGUAGAGGAACAAUUCAUUUCAAAAACCCAAUUCAUAAGGGCAUUUAUAGAUCUAAAGUCAUUGUACUUGAGCGAAGAAUUAUAGAAGACAUGAUUAUAAGUCUUGGUACAGAUUCAAACUUCUUUGAGUCGUCACAGAUGCAAGUCAAAGCUAUAGGAAAACACACAGAUAUAAAGAUAAAUAUUUGCAAAGGGAAAGCCAACUUAUACCUGGAAAAAACUCCAAAAAUCUAUUUGAAGCAGGUUGUGGUCGGUUAAUAAGAAGCUCGCCGGAAGUCUUUCGCUCCAGGAGCUCAUCACCAAACAUUUUUGUUGCUAAAAAUAUUAGUAGGAAAGCCAAGAAAUAAAAAUAAUAUGGGAAAGGAGCUUACAUUUGUUUCACAGCAGGUCAUCACUUUCCUAUUUGCUCAAAUGAUGGAAGAUGAUGGAGAGGAAUUAGCAGAGCUUCUGAUUCAUUUGCCUCUUCAUUUUCUUACUUUUUGUAUUAUUAUUUCCAAGGAAAUGUAUCGAUUGGGAUGCUCUUUUUUUUAUGGACAUGGUUUUAUU
Molecule: long non-coding RNA, 23537 nt
Filed under: Capsicum annuum
Lineage: Eukaryota; Viridiplantae; Streptophyta; Magnoliopsida; Solanales; Solanaceae
Description: long non-coding RNA (CANN_LNC016343)
Source: RNAcentral